Molecule: long non-coding RNA, 356 nt
Organism: Polyodon spathula (Mississippi paddlefish)
Lineage: Eukaryota; Metazoa; Chordata; Actinopteri; Acipenseriformes; Polyodontidae
Exons: 5
Source: RefSeq, a predicted model, not a curated record
GUACGUAGCCCAUACUCCCAUGAGUGAAAGGUAAAUAGAAAGCUGUAUGAUGUGCUAGACAUGACGGCAGUGGAUCAGUAUUGAAUGAUGAAAAAGAUGCAUGUUGAAACAUGUGAAACAAAAUAGGUCAUCUUUUAGGGAACAGGAAAACCAGCAGAAAGAACUGAGUUCCUCCUCCUACCACAGAAGCAGGGAGAUGCCCAUACAGCAGAUGAAAAGAAGGAAACCACUUUUGAAGACUGAUGACAGGCCUUAAUACUGUACCACUGAAAGUUGAUAGUAAAGUGGCUUCUGCUUUCUGCUGCUAAUACUGCACGACGGCUGAUACGAAGCUGGAGCUGCAGCAAGAAGCCCGG